RNAcentral lists this ribosomal RNA (310 nucleotides) under uncultured Nitrosomonas sp. B7. RNAcentral's name for it is "partial 16S ribosomal RNA". Lineage: Bacteria; Pseudomonadati; Pseudomonadota; Betaproteobacteria; Nitrosomonadales; Nitrosomonadaceae. The record is from RNAcentral.
GUCAUAAAUCAUNANUAUUAAUUCAUGACUCUUUCUUNCCGACUNAAAGAGCUUUACAACCCGAAGGCCUUCUUCACUCACGCGGCAUGGCUGGAUCAGGCUUNCGCCCAUUGUCCAAAAUUCCCCACUGCUGCCUCCCGUAGGAGUCUGGGCCGUGUCUCAGUCCCAGUGUGGCUGGUCGUCCUCUCAGACCAACUACUGAUCGUCGCCUUGGUAAGCCNUUACCCCACCAACUAGCUAAUCAGACAUCGGCCGCUCCUUUAGCANNAGGUCUUUCGAUCCCCUACUUUCCUCCCCCCGUGCCCCCGCC